AUUCUGCCCAUGCGGGGAAGGAUGAGAAGCUUCGACUAAGGUUCGGCUCGAGCGUCAGCGAGAGAGCGUUGCCGCAGGCAACGACCCGAAGGGCGA
This 96-nucleotide small RNA is filed under the name Escherichia coli. RNAcentral's name for it is "partial RtT sRNA". It matches the Rfam family "RtT RNA", at positions 1 to 94 of the family's 130-position model. Rfam says of the family: This family represents a bacterial cis-regulatory element known as RtT RNA. The record is from RNAcentral. Lineage: Bacteria; Pseudomonadati; Pseudomonadota; Gammaproteobacteria; Enterobacterales; Enterobacteriaceae.